This 1166-nucleotide ribosomal RNA is filed under the name Paracyba sp. RNAcentral describes it as "16S ribosomal RNA". Lineage: Eukaryota; Metazoa; Arthropoda; Insecta; Hemiptera; Cicadellidae. The record is from RNAcentral.
UCUUUAAUUUUUUUUUUAUUUUUAUACUUUUUUAAAUUUAGUUUUUGAUAAAUUUUCUUAUUAAGAUUUUUAAAUAGAUUGAUUAAUUUAAUUUUUUAAAAAAUUUGUUAGUACCUUUUGUAUCAGGGCUAAUCAAUUUUUUUAUAUAUAUAUUUUUCCCGAAAUUAAAAGGUCAAUUAAUAAAUUAUUUUAUUUGUUUUAUAAAAUAAUUAAAUUUAUUAAUUGUAAAUAUAUUUUAUUCGAUUUUAAUUAUAUCUGGUUAUUUAAGAUUAAAUUUAAUUUUUAAUUUAUUAUUUUAAAUUAUAUUUAAUAAGGGAUAAUCUUUAUUAAUUUAUAUAAUUUAUUUUUGAUCAUAUUUUUAUUAAUUUUUAAAUUUUAAAUUUAGUUAUUAAUAUAUUUAAAUAAUUAUAUUUUAAUUUUAUUUAAUUUAUUUUUUUAUUGAAUUUAUUUAUUAAACUAAACUUUAAUUUUAAUACUGAUUUUAUAAGUAAAAUUUUAUAUUGAAGUUUAAUGAAUUCGACAUAUUUAAUUUUCAACUGUUUAUCAAAAACAUUUUUUUUAGAUUUUAUUAAAAGUACAUUCUGCCCUAUGAAUAUUUAAAUGGCUGCAGUAUUUUAACUGUACAAAGGUAGCAUAAUAAUUAGUUUUUUAAUUGAGGACUGGAAUGAAAGAUUAAAUGAGAAAUUAGUUUUAUUAAUUUUAAAUUUUAAAUUUUAUAUUUAGGUAAAAAAGCUUAAGUUAUUUUUUGGGACGAAAAGACCCUAUAGAACUUUAUUAUAAUAAAUAGAAUUGAAUUUAAAUUUUAUAUUAGUUUUUUUUAUUAAGUUUUAUUGGGGUGAUAAUUAAAUUAAUCUUUAAUUUAUAAUUUCAUUAAUUUAUGUUUUUUUUGAAUUAAAAUAUUUAAUUGUAAGAAUAAGUUACCUUAGGGAUAACAGCGUAAUUUAUAUGGAGAGUUCAUAUCUAUAUAUGAGUUUGCGACCUCGAUGUUGAAUUAAGAUAAAUUAAGGAAGAAGUAUUUUUUAAGUUAAGUCUGUUCGACUUUUAAAUUCUUACAUGAUUUGAGUUCAAACCGGUGUGAGCCAGGUUGGUUUCUAUCUUAAAAUUUUUUUAGUUAAUUUAGUACGAAAGGACCAAUUAAUUUAUUUCAAAUAUUAUUUUUAAACAAA